RNAcentral lists this unclassified non-coding RNA (334 nucleotides) under soil metagenome. RNAcentral describes it as "partial contains 5.8S ribosomal RNA, internal transcribed spacer 2, and large subunit ribosomal RNA". The stretch from base 1 to 120 matches the Rfam family "5.8S ribosomal RNA", at positions 35 to 154 of the family's 154-position model. The record is from RNAcentral.
GAUGAAGAACGUAGCGAAAUGCGAUAAGUAAUGUGAAUUGCAGAAUUCAGUGAAUCAUCGAAUCUUUGAACGCACAUUGCGCCCCCCAGUAUUCUGGCGGGCAUGCCUGUUCGAGCGUCAUUUCAACCAUCAAGCCCUGCUUGUGUUGGGGUCCUGCGGCUGCCCGCAGGCCCUGAAAACCAGUGGCGGGCUCGCUAGUCACACCGAGCGCAGUAGCACAUCUCGCUCAGGGCGUGCGGCGGGCUCCAGCCGUUAAAGCACCUACCUUUCGCAAGGUUGACCUCGGAUCAGGUAGGAAUACCCGCUGAACUUAAGCAUAUCAAUAAGCGGAGGA